RNAcentral lists this ribosomal RNA (489 nucleotides) under uncultured bacterium. RNAcentral describes it as "bacterial SSU rRNA". It matches the Rfam family "Bacterial small subunit ribosomal RNA", at positions 28 to 524 of the family's 1533-position model. The record is from RNAcentral.
GACGAACGCUGGCGGCGCGCCUAACACAUGCAAGUCGAACGGGGAUACAGAGGAGCUUGCUUUUCUGUAUUCUAGUGGCGAACGGGUGAGUAACACGUGAGUAAUCUGCCUUACAGAGGGGGAUAACGUUUGGAAACGAACGCUAAUACCGCAUAACAUUAUGGUAUCGCAUGGUAUUGUAAUCAAAGGAGAAAUCCGCUGGAAGAUGAGCUCGCGCCCGAUUAGAUAGUUGGCGGGGUAAAGGCCCACCAAGUCGACGAUCGGUAGCCGGACUGAGAGGUUGAACGGCCACAUUGGGACUGAGACACGGCCCAGACUCCUACGGGAGGCAGCAGUGGGGGAUAUUGCACAAUGGGGGAAACCCUGAUGCAGCGACGCCGCGUGAGGGAAGAAGGUUUUCGGAUUGUAAACCUCUGUCUUUGGGGAAGAGCAGAAGACGGUACCCAAGGAGGAAGCCACGGCUAACUACGUGCCAGCAGCCGCCGUAAC